This 460-nucleotide ribosomal RNA is filed under the name uncultured bacterium. Its description in RNAcentral is "partial 16S ribosomal RNA". It matches the Rfam family "Bacterial small subunit ribosomal RNA", at positions 338 to 795 of the family's 1533-position model. The record is from RNAcentral.
CCUACGGGAGGCAGCAGUGAGGAAUAUUGGUCAAUGGACGAGAGUCUGAACCAGCCAAGUAGCGUGAAGGAUGACUGCCCUAUGGGUUGUAAACUUCUUUUAUAUGGGAAUAAAAUGUUCCACGUGUGGGUUUUUGUAUGUACCAUAUGAAUAAGGAUCGGCUAACUCCGUGCCAGCAGCCGCGGUAAUACGGAGGAUCCGAGCGUUAUCCGGAUUUAUUGGGUUUAAAGGGAGCGUAGGUGGAUUGUUAAGCCUGUUGUGAAAGUUUGCGGCUCAACCGUGAAAUUGCAGUUGAAACUGGCAGUCUUGAGUACAGUAGAGGUGGGCGGAAUUCGUGGUGUAGCGGUGAAAUGCUUAGAUAUCACGAAGAACUCCGAUUGCGAAGGCAGCUCACUGGACUGCAACUGACACUGAGGCUCGAAAGUGUGGGUAUCAAACAGGAUUAGAUACCCCAGUAGUC